GCUCCCUUCGUCUAGUGGCCUAGGACGCUAGCCUCUCACGCUGGAAACACGAGUUCGAUUCUCGUAGGGAGCA
Molecule: transfer RNA, 73 nt
Filed under: uncultured Candidatus Thioglobus sp.
Lineage: Bacteria; Pseudomonadati; Pseudomonadota; Gammaproteobacteria; Pseudothioglobaceae (SeqCode)
Description: uncultured SUP05 cluster bacterium tRNA-Glu-CTC
Rfam family: tRNA
About the family: Transfer RNA (tRNA) molecules are approximately 80 nucleotides in length. Their secondary structure includes four short double-helical elements and three loops (D, anti-codon, and T loops).
Source: RNAcentral